GGGGGGGGGGGGGGGGGGGGUGGGGGGGGGGGGGGGGGCGGGGGGCGGUGGGGGCGGGGUUCUCUCGGUCUGGGUGGCGGAGGGGUGAGUGACGCGGGAUCACCCUGCCCUUCGGAGGGGGACGACAGGUGGAGCCUACUGCUCAUCCCGCAUACGAUCCGACCUCGUCAUCGCGGAUGGAUGACAGUUGGCCUCUCUUUAUACGCUAUCACUGCAGGAGGGGGUUGCGUCUGCUUAGCUAGGUGCUGGGGUACCGGCCCACCAAGGCAAUGAUCAGUAGCCGGUCUGAGAGGCUGAACGGCCACAUUGGGACUGAGACACGGCCCAGACUCCUACGGGAGGCAGCAGUGGGGAAUCUUCCGCAAUGGACGAAAGUCUGACGGAGCAACGCCGCGUGAGUGAUGACGGCCUUCGGGUUGUAAAGCUCUGUUAAGCGGGACGAAAGGUAUUCUUGCGAAGAGUUAGAAGAAUUGACGGUACCGGAAUAGAAAGCCACGGCUAACUACGUG
RNAcentral lists this ribosomal RNA (509 nucleotides) under uncultured bacterium. RNAcentral describes it as "partial 16S ribosomal RNA". It matches the Rfam family "Bacterial small subunit ribosomal RNA", at positions 34 to 507 of the family's 1533-position model. The record is from RNAcentral.